This 1262-nucleotide long non-coding RNA is filed under the name Triticum aestivum (bread wheat). Its description in RNAcentral is "long non-coding RNA (TAES_LNC026870)". The record is from RNAcentral. Lineage: Eukaryota; Viridiplantae; Streptophyta; Magnoliopsida; Poales; Poaceae.
AAGAAUAUAUAUAGAUCUGGAUAUACCAGAAGCACAAGAACUUCUUGAAAGGUAUGAAACACUACCAAUUAAAAAUUCCCACUCAUGAAUAGUGACUCAUGUUGAUUCAAGAUUGUAUAUAUUAUUAUUUGUUUUAUAUAUGUGCAGGGACUCAACACAAGUAACCUUACCAAAAAUGAUGAGUAUAGAUAGAAGUAAUCAGGGAUCACUAGAAGAACAAAUGUUUUACAGGCGGAGAACAUUGCAAGAACUUACUAAAAUGAGGCACGAAAACCAGCAAGACCAGGUAAUUCAUCAGAAUUUCAAUAAACGGUAUCAUCAAUUUCUGUGAGAAUGAGUUAAGACCUGCAUUGACAAUUCGUUCAAUAUUCAAUUAUAUAUGUCACUUAAACCCCCACCCUUACCCCAAUGCUAACGUUGAUUGUUUUCAGGAUUUUCUAUUCACGACAAUAGCUACAGUACAUCGGUUGCAAGAAAAUAUUCAAUGGUGGUACAUGUCAUGUGAUAACUGUCCCAAAAUGGUUACCAAGGAAACCAACAAGUAUUAUUGCAAGAGUUGUGGUAUAUAUCCAGAAAAGGUCACACCUCGGUAAGCAUAUUAUAUUACUUAAAUAUAAACAAUAAGUGUUAUAUUAUAUUUACUCUCCACUAACAUGAAUGGUAUGUUAGGUAUCGUAUUCGACUCCAAAUUAGUGACCAUACAUCUACUACAAGUUGCACUUUAUUUGACGAGGAGGCUGCAAGAUUGCUUAGUACAUCUGCAUCUGACUUGUGGACUGACUAGAUGGGAAAAUGGAAGAAGCGCCAAAGAUUAUUCAACAAUUAUGUGGAAAAAAGUUAAUAUUUCGAUUCAAGCUCAAUGAUAGUAAUCUCACAUUUGGCACACAAAACUAUGCAGUAAAGAGAACAUUUGUGCCUGAUGAUAGGCUUGAGAUGCUCUACUUGAACGAUAAAGCCGAGGAGGUAAAAGUUUCAUUAACUUUGUUUCAAAAAUAAAGUACCAUCUUUAGAAUUCCUUAACCAAUUCAUAUUACAUUUGUUGCACAGGAAUUGAUGGAUGAUGAUGUAGACACUAUGUUAAUGAAGAAGCAGAACAUGCCAGAUAAAAAGGUGAUUGACUUUUUGACGAUACACACUUCAAAUUUUAGAGAUGUGUCUUAUUUUGAAAAUGUAUAUGUAUGCAGCCACAGAAUAAUAAAGUUUCACCUUCCUGCAAACUGGUGCCUGUGAAAGAGGAGCCAUAUGACAGCAAUGAAUCCACA